CCCAGCUCCCCCAAACCGCCGCCCCCCCCAGCGACGCCCGGAAGAGGAAAUCAAACCCUAUUCCUCUUCCGACCGCGACUUUUUGCGGGAGGAGGAGGAGCCACCGUGGCCAUUCAAUUUAACGCCGGGCCGCCCGGGCGGUUCCCCGUUAAGGGGAACUUUACGCCCUUUUCUCCGUCGCGACCCUACAGACGGCCCUAUAAAUGCGGACCCCACUCAGACGAGACCCGAUGUGGGGCAGCAACGACGUGCCAGUUCGCUCGGCCGCAUCGGACGCUGAGAUCAAUGGGAACAAUGGGGGUUCGCUGCCCCAUAGCGUCUAUGGGGGGCACCCAUGGGUGCCCCUACCUGCCCCAUAGGGUCCCUAUCCCCACCCCACAGCUCCCAUGGGUGCCCCUCUCUACCCCACAGGGUCCCUAUCCCAGCCCCACAGCACCCAUGGGUGCCCAUUGCUGCCCCAUAGGUUGCCUCUCUCCACCCCACAGCACCCAUGGGUGCCCUUCUCUACCCCAUAGGGUCCCUAUUCCUGCCCCAUAGCCCCCAUGGGUGCCCAUUGCUGCCCCAUAGGGUCCCUCUCCCCACCUCACAGCACCCAUGGGUGCCCCUCCCUGCCCCAUAGCACCCAUGAGUGCCCCUUUCUACUCCACAGGGCCCCUAUAUUUCCACCCCACAGCCCCCAUGGGUCCCUAUCCCAGCCCCAUAGCACCCAUGGGUGCCCCUCUCUGCCCCAUAGCCCAAUUGGGGUCUUUCCCCUCCCUCCGCCCCCCCAAUUUUGGGAUCGUUUCAAUAAAUCUGAGAACCCUUUGCUUUC
Molecule: non-coding RNA, 811 nt
Organism: Meleagris gallopavo (turkey)
Lineage: Eukaryota; Metazoa; Chordata; Aves; Galliformes; Phasianidae
Source: RefSeq, a predicted model, not a curated record